GGGAAGGUGGCUCAGUGGUAGAGUGCUUGCCUUGCAUGCAUGAGGCCCUGGGUUCGAUUCCUCAAAACCA
Non-coding RNA from Dipodomys ordii (Ord's kangaroo rat), 70 nucleotides. NCBI's taxonomy places the organism in Eukaryota, Metazoa, Chordata, Mammalia, Rodentia, Heteromyidae. The record is from Rfam.